GGAAGUCAAAUUAUUCUAAAUGGUCACAUCUUAGACCUCCCAGGAUCACCUGACACAUGAACCAUCUCAUCCAUCUUCUAACUGAUACUCUGACCCAUCAGUGAUGGUCAAUGACUAGAUUAAUCUUAUUUAAACUUUUAUUCAUCAUACUUUUACACUUUUUAUCUCUCUUUUUGCUUGACUGCACUGGGACUUCUUUGUGGCACAUGUUUGUUUUUUUUUUUUUGCUGCACGAACGGUGAGCUGGGGUUUCUCUCUAGUUGCUGCGCUCAGGCUUCUCAUUGCAGUGACUUCUCUUGUUGCAGAGCACAGACUCUAGGGCUCACAGGCUUCAGUCGUUGCAGCACACAGGCUCAGCAGCAUGUGAGAUCUUAGCUCUGGGGCCAGGGAUUGAACCCUUUGGCAGGUGGAUUCUUAACUGCUGGCCCACCAAGGACAUCCCUAUUCAUCAUAUUUUUGCUGGUCCUUCUGUGCCAUGGAGCACUCAACGACUCUCCAUCUCUACAAUUAAGGGUGGAGAUCCUAAAGUUCUUACUUGACCUAAAGACCCUAGAAGAAGAAGCUGUUUUCAGGAAGGAGCAAUGGAAGUCUCAGUCCACGCCAAGACUCUGGAAAGCAAGGCUUGAUUUAGGCAGUUCCUUUGAUUAUAAAUAUAAGGGAUAGGAGAAUAAAAGUGGCAGGCUGGCUGGUUAACA
This 695-nucleotide long non-coding RNA is filed under the name Bos indicus x Bos taurus (hybrid cattle). RNAcentral's name for it is "lncRNA (ENSBIXG00000028376.1)". Lineage: Eukaryota; Metazoa; Chordata; Mammalia; Artiodactyla; Bovidae. The record is from RNAcentral.